CGCGCCGCCUCCUCCUCCGCCGCCCGCCACCAGCACGGCGCCGCGCAGAAGAACAAAUACGUCAGAACGCUAUGGCAUAGGCUGCCGUCAGAUUCGGGACAUCUCGCCUUCAACGAAGGCGAAAGGCUCCGUCUGAUCCUCGAGGUGGACGACCAAUACUUGCUGUGUUGCCGCGGCGACCAGAAAGGGCUGGUCCCGCGGGACGCAGUGCUCCUCGAGGACUUCUGAUAUUGGCCUUCCGACCAGGAGUGGCAGCCAUGUUGGAGGCCGCUUAGGUUCGGCACCAACCCUCCAAGAAAGUAAAGGAUUUUCACGGCCGUAGCUAAGAUUUUGUGAGUGAGUUGAGUACUUUUUAAUUUUAAAAAUUUUCAAUCAAAACAAACUAUAUGCUAGAUGGGUAAGAUCCUCAGUGACAGCGUAGCUACGGCCUUAUUGUGAUCCCGUUCAUAGCGUAAUCGAGGACUGCCACGGCGUUGUGACGCUGUAUAUUCUGUGACAGUGAGCAAGUGAACCUGUGCAAUAGGUAUAGAAUGUGAUACAAAUCGGAACACUACGUUAAGAACGUUUAUAAUUCGUGCGAUCAAGUCUGAACAUAUGAACGCUUUUGGGGACAUUAAUACUGUACAUAUAAUGCCUAGUUUAGGUGAAGGAAUGUUUCUCUGUCAUUGUGUAUGUUUGUUUCGUUAAAGUUGCCUUACAAUAAUCAUUACCUGAAUCUUACAUCACCGCGCGAAGUCUCACAUGUUUAAUUCUGUAGUAAAAUCUAGUCUUACGUUAUAAAUCACGACAAAGUUUUUGUGUGUAUAUACUAUUAUUAAGAAGCGUUUAUAGUGAGAAUAUUUACUGAUGAUCAACGAGCAUUAACAGUAAAUGUUUAUCUCAAUCGGAUGUGAUAUAGAUUACAUACUAUUUAAUUAUAUAAAAAAUAUCCUUUCAAGGAGAACCCUGAUCGUAAGGAAUUAUUUGAAAGUCGCUUCUACCGAGAGAAAGGCACCGAUUAAAUUGAUGUCGUGUAAAUUAUAAUAGAAUCAAAUGAAUUCGUUGAUGUUUACGUACAAUCGUAUUGAAACGGCCGCACCCAUCCGACGAGGUUCGCGGGCUGUGUGUAAAUAUAUCCUUAUACGCAUAGUUGUUUGUGUAUUUAGAUACUGUGCGUUUAGCAAAUUAAAUUGGCAAAUUUACUUACGGAAUUGUUUUGGUGCGGUAUGUGUAUUUGGAUAGUGUUAAUAUUCCACGGAUUGCGUUAACUCCUCGUAGUACUGAUCGCAUGCAGCCUAUCCUGAACACCUUCCUGUGCAGUCUGUGGGGUCAGUCGGGUGGCUUAACAUGUUCACGAUACUAACUGCACGACUCCCACCGCCUCGCCUCUCCUGAAGCCGACCUGCUGUUACAACGUCGGUGUCACUCGGUGUUGGAAUAACAACCUGGGAACAACUAAUUGCAUGAGCCUCUCCGUCUCUCACUCCUUCAGUCCAGCACUGUCGAUCAAUUAUCAACUCAUUGACAUUUAAACACGUACUAAUUUACCUUUACCGCGCCUACAAAUUCAACGAAGUGGGUGUAUGUGAAAAUGUAUAUUGUUUUUGUGUAAAUUCAUUUCGUAAUCGUUUGCUUGUAUUAUCAAAUAUUGUGAUAUUGGUCAUAUCGCAGCUUCUGGGAAGCGUAGAGAAAUGAUAUUUUGGUAUGUCGAUGUAUUGCUCAAGUCGGAAUCACAACGUUUUGGAUAUGAUAUUAUGGAUAUAAAUACUCCCUUAUACGUAUUAUUGUACUUCUCGAUGUUUGGUGUUUGUUUAUCGAUAUAUUAUAAUGUUGUACAUAACACGUAUUAACGAUAAUCUCGUAGUUUAUAUGAAAAGGUGAAAGUAACCAAACCUUUUGAAUGCACGAUACAGUUCCUCGCGUAGUCCGUCGUGCUGUCUCUCGCACACACGUGUAGCGUUGUGUUGAUUAGAAAUCAAAAUUAAUAUAAUCGGUGUGAUGGUGCCUUUCUCGAGCGGACGCGACGUAUCGAAGUUCUUGCCAACAACGUUCGCACCAACCAGAGGCUCGUCGACACGAUAAUCUCAUUAAAAUAAGAUGAACGUUAGUUGACAUGAUAUAGUACUGCGAUAGGUAUAAAUUAAACAAUAAUUAGGUUAAAAUGUUAUCAAAAUUAUAGUUGAAAUAUUAGAUCACGGUAGCCCCGUAUAGUGGUAAAUUGUGACAUCAACUCUGUAUUAUAUAUUUUUGGAAUGAAUUCAUAAAUCUGCGCUUUGUGACUGAAUGAUGUGAUGUGGCCUUUUGUAUGUUAUAAAGUUGUGUUGUGUGUGUGCUUGUUGCAUCGGUCGGUGAGUCGAUAUAUGUUUAUUCAUCGUGUCUACUUAAUAUAAUACUGUACGUAUAGCAUGAGGAAGCUUCCACAAAUUAUUUAUGUAAUUUAUAUUAAUCUAAUCUCCUAAUAGCCGUUAAAGUAUUAGUCGAGUAAACAUGCCUUAAAAUAUUCAAAUGACUUAAUGGAACAUAGGCGAUGCAUGGUGAGUCGAUGGCGUUUGCUUUGCGAUAGCUUCACACGUAAUCGCUUUGCAGUUAACGCGUGUAUCUUUUGCAGUAACCUUAGGGAGUUUGUUAGAAGUAAGUUUUUAUGAAAGGUUUGUAUUAUUGAACGAUGUUGAAAGAUUUUUUUAUAAAACGACAUCCUGCGCGUUCGUUUUAACAUAUUGUUGGAUACAUGUGGUGAGUCAUUUGUCCUUGUGGGUACAAACGUUAAGUUAUUACUGUCGAAUUUGUUUAAGAUUUAAUUUAUAAUUUUACGAUUGGGAUCAAUAAGUUGAAUUUUGUGUUGAAAA
RNAcentral lists this long non-coding RNA (2825 nucleotides) under Manduca sexta (tobacco hornworm). RNAcentral describes it as "uncharacterized LOC119190023". The record is from RNAcentral. Lineage: Eukaryota; Metazoa; Arthropoda; Insecta; Lepidoptera; Sphingidae.